CGAAGGGCCUCGUAGAGGUCGUCAUAUCCAAAGCGCUCGCACAAGAGGGCAAUGGCGUCGGCGUUGGGCGAGUGCAUCAACGCCGCGGCCAUGGCCCGUGGCGAGCAGGCGGCGCCCCGGUCGAUCAUGUCACCCAGACAGGUCAGUCCGCUCUUGAUGGCAAUGCCCAGACUUUCCCCAUCCGACAGAGACACGAUCCCAGUGUCGUGCAUCCAGAGGACGAUGGCAUGACGGUUCCGCAUCAACAUGGUGCGUGCCAUCACGGCAGUAAAGUGGCGUCGGGUUUCGGGCCGCGCGGCCAGCCAAUCGACCACGGCCGUCGAGCCAAAGUCGUCGCAUUCGGCGACGGACCACGCCACCAUCGGGACGUCCCACGGGAGACGCACUGUGGGCGCAAAGCACGUUUCUACGCCUGGUACGGUCUCGCCCGCGGCCCAGCGCAAGACAUCAAGUUGACCCGCCUUUGCCGCGGCGCCCAUCACAUCAGCGGUCAACCGGACAAAGCCGCGUGCGUGCGCAAUGGCCAGGGUUCGCACGUGACCACCUCGUGCGGCCUCGAUGAGCGCGCCCUUGCACCUGAUGCUCACGGUCGGUAACAUGUCGGCAAUGUCUUGGCCCUCGUCGCGUGCAUCGUCGACAAGCGUGCGCGUGAUCGCGUCGACCAAACGAUCGUUCCCGGCGCCUAUGGCGUGCGCCAGUUGUUCGGUGGUGCACGCAAAGGCCCGACAUCUGACAGCGCGCAUCCAAUCGAGCACGUGGCGUUGGUCGCCCGCGGCGGCAGCGUCGGCAAUGUCGGAAGGACAGCAGCAUGCGGCGCUGUCGCCGUCGUCGCCGUGUCGAUCGACGAGACCUUGAGGCCAGCGGUCGUGCGCGUACAUAACUGUGGAGAGCGUGCCUCGCCUUGCGGCCUCGACCACGACACGCACGUCGAGGGCGCAUGGCAUCUUGGCCAGGUGACACGCCGUCGUCAAGUAGCGCAGUACGUCGGUGUGGCCCGCACAGGCUGCCUCGUAGAUGGCCUGCAUCAGAUAGGGCAUCAACGUAAUGUCGCCCGUCAAGUGCAGUGUGCCAGAAACACUGUCGGGUGGUCCCCGCGGCGGUCCACUUCGAUGGCGUGCGGAUGACACGCCAAACAAUCCACGGUGGUGUGACGGUACGGCACAGGAGACACCCAAAGUGACCGCCGGGUCUCGGUCAGCGGCAAUGGUGGCGUCUUGUCCCCCGGUGCCCAACAGAUCGUCCGCGUCGUGGUCACUGGUAGGGCCGAACGGACCCCUGGAUCCCAACGGACCCGUCGUGCCAAACUCCUCGGCCGAUCCGAGCACAACCCGUGAUCGACGCGCCCCCACCCGCGAGCGACAGGCUCGCGCGCGGAGUUGGGGUCCUUCAGAUUGAGGCACGUCCGGCGCGGGCGCGUACUCGGGGUUGAACGCAGGUCCGCCUGCGGUCAACCCGGUCCAUAGGCCAAAAACCGUCAAGGGCCUGAUGAGGUCACACACCCAACGGACGACGUCGACACGGCCGCCGCGGGCAGCAGCCGGCAGAUGCCGGUAGUCGACCUCCAUGUUCCACUGCCCAAAGAGCGCGCGGACGACAUAGAUGGGCAGGCCGGCAGCAAGGGCCGCCUCUGAUUGACCGCGAUAGUAAGAGGCGGCCGUUUCCAGCGGAGACCUGCAGGCCAGUGCUGGUGAGGCGCACGCGCACGCGACCACAUCGCGUGGGUGGUCCAACAGGGCGACGAUAAAGCACAGGAUUUCGCUCGGCAGGUCCAACAGCGACAGGUUGUCGUCCAUGGGUCGAUGUGUGGGCGAGGUCAGACAGACAAAGGCCAAAAAAUUUGUUUUUCUGCUGGCGCGAACAAUGCCUUGUGUGUAUUGGUGUGGUCGGUGCUGGGCAGGGCGACGGGCGAAAGAAAACUGUCUGGCAUUGUGA
RNAcentral lists this long non-coding RNA (1932 nucleotides) under Pandoravirus quercus. RNAcentral's name for it is "hypothetical ncRNA". The record is from RNAcentral.